Aquila chrysaetos chrysaetos is the source of this 1942-nucleotide long non-coding RNA. RefSeq lists it as uncharacterized. The record is from RefSeq and is a predicted model, not a curated record. The transcript is spliced from 2 exons. NCBI's taxonomy places the organism in Eukaryota, Metazoa, Chordata, Aves, Accipitriformes, Accipitridae.
GGGGUCCCGCCAGCCGCUCCAGCUGCCGCGGGUUGGAGCCGCUCAGGAACCGCAGCUCCUCCUUGCCGUCCUCCGUGCGCGCUGCAAGACAGAAGUGUGAAGGGGAAAAACAAGAAAAGGCCAGGACUCACCUUUCCCAGCAGCUCCUGGGGCAAAUAGGCAGAACUGGGUUUGAAGAGAGAGCCGGUCUGGCUGAGGGUUGUCACAAUAGCACCUCCGCUCUAAAAGGUAGAUUAGAAACCCUUUUAGCUGCAAACGCAGUAGUUGUGAAAUAGUUAUGGACUGAUUCUAAAUAAGUGAGGCGGUGUUUUUUUGAUCUUACAGUUACUUCAAUUCCAAAAUUCUAUAUAAUGGACUUCUUACAAUGCUCCUAACUACAUUAAGCCUGGCUACUCCAAGGACACAUGCAGAACAGGGAAUACGUAGCUGGUGUUUCCAGUGCUGGCAUUUAAACGUGUCAUUCUUACCUAUAAAUGGCUUUUCUAUUGAAACAACUGAAAUACUUUAAAAAGGACUUUUCUAUAUACUUUUGCAUCUGAAGACUACCUGUUAGAGAUACUAGCAUCCAGAGGAUUGAAAAAGAAGCAAAAGGAGCUGACCUCCUAUAGCAAAACAUCUAGAAACUAAAAGUUCUCAUUAGUUCAAAAAAUCAGAAAGCAAAGUGUCAUAAGUGUUAUUAAAUACCUCUAGCUCAGGGUCAUAAACUGGAGUUUGGCACGGUAAUCAAGAAAAGCAUUGUUACAUAUCUGACCUGUUCUUAUUUCUCUUUGGGUGAUGUCAGAAACGCUGAUGAGAUACUAACCCUUAACAGUCACAUGAUGUUCAUCCUCUCCUUUGCUGAAGCAACAGUGUGAUGUUAGAUUUGUAGCUUUACGCUUAUCAGCAGGUAGUUUUAAUUGCUGAGAAUAACACACCCAAAGGUACAGACUGGAACUCACCCAAUUAUUCAUCAUCAUCUUCCUUAGAUUGUACACGAGCGUCAGCUCCUCUGGAGAAACCUGGUGAAGAUUGUCUGCAUCACUUUUUUUGCCAGCAGUUUCAAUCUGAGACAUAAAUUCCCCUCCCCUACUUUAAAUUAGACUGGAAGGAUCAUUUGCAUCCUUUUGGUGCAUUUUUUUCUUUGCUUUUACUUAGCACUGUAGCAUUCAGCCUUAGUAAUGUUACACAGAGAAACGCCCAAACCUUUCCUGCUGUAACAAGGCAUACAUGCACUUUUUUCUUACUAAGAGAACCUUCUUCAGUAAAAAUUGUCUAAAGCACAAUAUGAAUUUUGCAGGUCCCUCCAAGCUAGCAAAGCCAAAUGUAUGUCUUUCAGGGAUUACUAUAGAACUCAAAAAUUAACAAAACACUCUCCCUUGCAGUAGGAAUGCAGAAGUAUCAUCAGAACAAAUCACUUCUUACAGGGCUUUUGUCUUCCUUCUUUAAUGUAGUCCUUCCCCAGAGCGCAUUGACACCGUCCACUGCCACAAGAAGUCGGAAUGAGCCAAGAUGACAUUGCUGCUUUAUCUCUUUCAGCACAACCCCUACAGCAUCGCUGGCAUUUCUCACACGAGCUAAACCCUUUAAGUAGGAAAAGGCACAUCACUCAGGUUGGUUUUCUUGUUAAUACAUAAUGCUGGCAACUUUGGGCAUUGUCUGCCCUUUCUAAGGGGGAAGGAAGAUAAAACAACUGUCAACAGUCUGUUCGUUCGUUUCAAAGGAGCAAUCUGGUCUAAGGUACUGAGCAUCAAAGACAUAGGAACUUUCAGAUUCUAAUUUUUGCUUCUACCCAAGUUCUCUGUACAACUUCCUUUACAGAUCCAUCAGAUCUUCCACAAUGUUUUUUGUAGCCACCUUGUUGAUAGGGAAAUGCCUUUCAUUUCCUAGAAUUCGUAUUUGUAAGAUCUUUAGAAGCAAUUUGUUGUACAUAUGCAAUGACGGGAUCUUCUAAUAAAACGUGAGA